Molecule: transfer RNA, 358 nt
Filed under: uncultured Microcystis sp.
Lineage: Bacteria; Bacillati; Cyanobacteriota; Cyanophyceae; Chroococcales; Microcystaceae
Description: partial 16S-23S ribosomal RNA intergenic spacer
Rfam family: tRNA (bases 133-206)
Source: RNAcentral
AAGGGAGACCUAAUUCCGGUAGGAGACGAAAAAAAAGUAGUCCCAACCAAGAAUCAAUCCCAAAAGGUCGGAACGAGGUAUGAGGCUUUCAAACUAGGCUCUGGGUUCAUAAAAGACCUGAAUCAGGAACAAGGGCUAUUAGCUCAGGUGGUUAGAGCGCACCCCUGAUAAGGGUGAGGUCCCUGGUUCGAGUCCAGGAUGGCCCACCUGCACAGGUGGCAAAAACAAGAGAAGCUCCGAAUCAGCACCUUAUCUUAUAUACAUAUAUAAGAGAGAAUGCUGGCUCUGAGUACAGAGUCCAGAGGAACCUUGAAAACUGCAUAGAGCUAGGUGAAAAAGCCAAAAAAGAAGACCGCAA